UCGAGAAUCUUUGGCAAUGGACGAAAGUCUGACCAAGCGACGCCGCGUGCGGGAUGAAGGCCCUCGGGUUGUAAACCGCUGUCAGUAGGGAGGAAGGAAACGUGAAGAGCGUUUUUUGACCGAUCUUCAGAGGAAGGACGGGCUAAGUUCGUGCCAGCAGCCGCGGUAAGACGAACCGUCCAAACGUUAUUCGGUAUCACUGGGCUUAAAGCGUACGUAGGCGGCCUAGAAGGUGAGAUGUGAAAUCCCACGGCUCAACCGUGGAAUUGCGUUUCAAACCACUAGGCUCGAGGAAGACAGGGGUGAUGGGAACUUAUGGUGGAGCGGUGAAAUGCGUUGAUAUCAUAGGGAACACCGGUGGCGAAAGCGCAUCACUGGGUCUUUUCUGACGCUGAGGUACGAAAGCUAGGGUAGCGAACGGGAUUAGAUACCCCCGUAGUCC
This 442-nucleotide ribosomal RNA is filed under the name uncultured prokaryote. RNAcentral's name for it is "bacterial SSU rRNA". It matches the Rfam family "Bacterial small subunit ribosomal RNA", at positions 355 to 796 of the family's 1533-position model. The record is from RNAcentral.